Ochotona princeps (American pika) is the source of this 742-nucleotide long non-coding RNA. RefSeq lists it as uncharacterized. The record is from RefSeq and is a predicted model, not a curated record. The transcript is spliced from 3 exons. NCBI's taxonomy places the organism in Eukaryota, Metazoa, Chordata, Mammalia, Lagomorpha, Ochotonidae.
CCCCUUACCCCCACCCUGACCCUCUCUGGCCCCAUCCCUUCUAAUCUCUUCUUUCAUGCCCUGCUACCACCCUAGGAUCGAGCCAGGACCAGAGAUAUCCGCACAUAGGCAGACCCCAGAGAGGUUGAGAGAGGCAGACACCCCGCUGGCUGGACCACAACUCUAAAACCCAGAAACUUGGGUCUGGGAAACUCAGCCAAGAAAUCCAGGAGCAAAUAGAAAGCAGAAGCAGCAGAGACAGAAAGGGAUAGGGCAUCAAUGGAGCACACCAUGUAGGGAUGGGUGUCUCUGAUGCCCACCGGGUGUGCAAAGCUCCAGGUCAGCUGCUGGGGAGAAGGCCCGGGAGAGGGAAGAGAAGCUGAAAGAAACCACAGGAUCUGAAGGCCCUGCUUCAGCUUGGCAGGAAGGUGGCCAGGCUUUCAGAGGCAGCGCUAAAGUCUGCAGCUUCAUCUCCAGGUUGGAAUGUUGCUUCUGGCACCCGAGAGAUUUCCUGUUUCCAGCCCCGGCAUCCCUCUUGGGUGUCUGGGAGCUAGCUGGAUAGGCCACCUUGGGCUGUGGUCAGCCUCUCUUGGGAUAGCAGAAGCAGAGGAGGAGAUGCUGGGCCCAGCUCCCCCUACAGAGCACCAGGAGUGGGACAGACCAUGCUCUGAACUUCAUGGGCUCAGACAGGGAGCAGCUCAGUGGAACUGAAGACCCUGGGAAGAGGUUUGGCUGCUGGAUUCUCAGAUUCUUGGGUCAGGUG